Non-coding RNA from Acanthosepion pharaonis, 113 nucleotides. NCBI's taxonomy places the organism in Eukaryota, Metazoa, Mollusca, Cephalopoda, Sepiida, Sepiidae. The record is from the annotation of a GenBank genome assembly.
UACAGCCAUAUCACAUUAAAACAUUCAUUCUUAUUCAAUCACUGAAGUUGAGCAGCGUUGAGCCUGGUCAGUACUUGGAUGGGUGAUCGCAAGGGAAUAUCAUGUGUUGUAAG